UUGGAGAGUUUGAUCCUGGCUCAGGACGAACGCUGGCGGCGUGCUUAACACAUGCAAGUCGAACGAUGAAGAGGAGCUUGCUCCUUGGAUUAGUGGCGAACGGGUGAGUAACACGUGAGUAACCUGCCCUGGACUCUGGGAUAACCCCGAGAAAUCGGAGCUAAUACCG
This 169-nucleotide ribosomal RNA is filed under the name Agromyces albus. RNAcentral describes it as "partial 16S ribosomal RNA". It matches the Rfam family "Bacterial small subunit ribosomal RNA", at positions 1 to 171 of the family's 1533-position model. The record is from RNAcentral. Lineage: Bacteria; Bacillati; Actinomycetota; Actinomycetes; Micrococcales; Microbacteriaceae.